GAGGCUGUAGCUCAGCGGAAUAGAGCACCGGACGUUUAAUCCGGGGACGCGGGUUCGAAUCCCGCCAGCCCACGA
This 75-nucleotide transfer RNA is filed under the name Bifidobacterium canis. RNAcentral describes it as "tRNA-Lys". It matches the Rfam family "tRNA". Rfam says of the family: Transfer RNA (tRNA) molecules are approximately 80 nucleotides in length. The record is from RNAcentral. Lineage: Bacteria; Bacillati; Actinomycetota; Actinomycetes; Bifidobacteriales; Bifidobacteriaceae.